This 774-nucleotide ribosomal RNA is filed under the name uncultured Neocallimastigales. Its description in RNAcentral is "partial large subunit ribosomal RNA". It matches the Rfam family "Eukaryotic large subunit ribosomal RNA", at positions 26 to 632 of the family's 3401-position model. Lineage: Eukaryota; Fungi; Neocallimastigomycota; Neocallimastigomycetes; Neocallimastigales. The record is from RNAcentral.
CGUCUAUAUACGUAUAGCAUAUCAAUAAGCGGAGGAAAAGAAACUAACUAGGAUUCCCUCAGUAACGGCGAGUGAAGCGGGAAGAGCUCAAAUUUGAAAUCUUCAAGGUUUUACCUUGACGAAUUGUAGUUUAAAGAAGUGUUUUCUGUUGGAGUUUUGGUAAAAGUUCUUUGGAAUAGGACAUCAUAGAGGGUGAGAAUCCCGUAUUUGACCAUUAUUUCCAACUUUGUGAUACACUUUCAAAGAGUCGGAUUGUUUGGGAAUGCAGUCCAAAAUGGGUGGUAAAUUUCAUCUAAAGCUAAAUACUGGCGAGAGACCGAUAGCGAACAAGUACCGUGAGGGAAAGAUGAAAAGAACUUUGAAAAGAGAGUUAAACAGUACGUGAAAUUGUCAAAAGGGAAGCGUUUGACACCAGUGUUGUUUUCUCGAAAAUCAAUUAAAAAUGGCUGGAUUUUGUGUUGUAUUGACCUUAUAAGCUUUCUGCACUUUUUUCAUGUCUUUUUUAAUGCACUUUUCGUUUAACAUGUCAACAUCAAUUUCUUUUGUUGUAAAAGAGUCAUUGGAAGGUGGCUUUCUUUUCGGAGAAAGUGUUUAUAGCCUUUGACUUCUGCAGUCGGAGAGAUUGAGGUCUGCAGCGUAGAUCCUUCGGGGUUAGAUACAUUUGUGCUAAGUUAUAGCCUUUCAUAGACAACUUGUUGACUAUGAUCAGUCAUGUAGCUUACUCGCUUAUGCUAUUUUACCUACGCUUAGGAUGUUGAUCUGUAGUGCGUGCGC